Molecule: ribosomal RNA, 454 nt
Filed under: uncultured bacterium
Lineage: Bacteria
Description: partial 16S ribosomal RNA
Rfam family: Bacterial small subunit ribosomal RNA
Source: RNAcentral
GAUGAACGCUGACAGAAUGCUUAACACAUGCAAGUCAACUUGAACUUCGGUUUGGGUGGCGGACGGGUGAGUAACGCGUAAAGAACUUGCCUCACAGAUAGGGACAACAUUUGGAAACGAAUGCUAAUACCUGAUAUUAUGAUUUUAGGGCAUCCUAGGAUUAUGAAAGCUAUAUGCGCUGUGAGAGAGCUUUGCGUCCCAUUAGCUAGUUGGAGAGGUAACGGCUCACCAAGGCGAUGAUGGGUAGCCGGCCUGAGAGGGUGAUCGGCCACAAGGGGACUGAGACACGGCCCUUACUCCUACGGGAGGCAGCAGUGGGGAAUAUUGGACAAUGGACCAAGAGUCUGAUCCAGCAAUUCUGUGUGCACGAUGAAGUUUUUCGGAAUGUAAAGUGCUUUCAGUUGGGAAGAAAAAAAUGACGGUACCAACGGAAGAAGUGACGGCUAAAUACGUG